This is a small nuclear RNA of Choloepus hoffmanni (Hoffmann's two-fingered sloth), 167 nucleotides long. Its record names the gene U1. It matches the Rfam family "U1 spliceosomal RNA". From Rfam's summary of the family: U1 is a small nuclear RNA (snRNA) component of the spliceosome (involved in pre-mRNA splicing). The record is from Ensembl. Lineage: Eukaryota; Metazoa; Chordata; Mammalia; Pilosa; Megalonychidae.
AUACUUACCUGGCAGGGGAGAUACUACGAUCAUGAAGGUGGUUUUCCCAGGGCAAGUCUUCUCCAUUGCACUCAGGAUAUGCUGACCCCUGCAAUUUCCCCAAAUGUGGGAAACUACACUGCAUAAAUUUGUGGUAGUGGAGGACUGUGUUCAGGCUCUUCCCUUAA